Molecule: long non-coding RNA, 615 nt
Filed under: Coffea arabica (coffee)
Lineage: Eukaryota; Viridiplantae; Streptophyta; Magnoliopsida; Gentianales; Rubiaceae
Description: long non-coding RNA (CARA_LNC000461)
Source: RNAcentral
UAAUUUCUAAUGACGGCUGUCGCACACUCUCUCUCAUUCUUAAUCUCUUCUCUAGUUCUCUUUCUUCUUGUUUCAAAUUAAGAAUCCAAAUUCUCAAUGGUAUCGGGCUUCUUAAAUAUGGGGUUUCUCAACUUCAAUUCUCUAUUUUUUCUUGCAAAAGAUUGGAUUAAUCUCACAAAUCUUAACUCUCAAGACAUCAUCCAGGUUAGUUUCAUUUUUUUUUUCAUUUAUUUGUUUAUUACUUGGCGUUUGAUAGAUUGUAUGAUUCUUGAGGUCUGCAAUUUUUGGUAGUUUUAUUUUUAUUGUUCGAUUUUUCUUUGAAGAGCAAUUUGUCUAUUUCAGUUUUUUUUUUCUUUUUCUUUUGUGGGUAAGAAUUUGAAUGCCAUGAGAGAAAACCAGUGCAGAAAGCUAAUUUACUUGAUCAACUAUUAUGUCACAAAACUCAGGAUUCAAUUCCUAUUUUUGGUAUUGUAUAUGUACUUCACUUUUGUUGAUUAUGUACUGGAAAAUUCCUGAAGUACUUUGCACUAAAAUAUAUAAUUUAUUUUGGCUGCUCUUAUCCAUUAGGAAUACUCAAGAACAUAAUCUUUAUACUAGGCCGACAAACGAUGUUAG